RNAcentral lists this ribosomal RNA (471 nucleotides) under uncultured Chloroflexota bacterium. RNAcentral's name for it is "bacterial SSU rRNA". It matches the Rfam family "Bacterial small subunit ribosomal RNA", at positions 897 to 1382 of the family's 1533-position model. Lineage: Bacteria; Bacillati; Chloroflexota. The record is from RNAcentral.
AAACUCAAAGGAAUUGGCGGGGACCCGCACAAGCAGCGGAGCGUGUGGUUUAAUUCGAUGCAACGCGAAGAACCUUACCAGGGUUGGACAUGCACGCUGAGGGUCCAGAGAUGGGCCGGCCCGCAAGGGAGGCGUGCACAGGUGCUGCAUGGCUGUCGUCAGCUCGUGCCGUGAGGUGUUGGGUUAAGUCCCGCAACGAGCGCAACCCUCGCUCUCGGUUGGAAUGAUCCGAGGGGACUGCCGCGCACAACGCGGAGGAAGGUGGGGAUGACGUCAAGUCAGCAUGGCCCUGACAUCCUGGGCGACACACACGCUACAAUGGUCGGGACAGCGGGCAGCGACCCGGCGACGGGGAGCCAAUCCCUCAAACCCGAUCUCAGUGCAGAUUGCAGGCUGCAACCCGCCUGCAUGAAGGAGGAGUUGCUAGUAACCGCCGGUCAGCACACGGCGGUGAAUACGUUCUCGGGUCUU